GACGAACGCUGGCGGCGUGCUUAACACAUGCAAGUCGAGCGGUAAGGCCCUUUCGGGGGUACACGAGCGGCGAACGGGUGAGUAACACGUGGGUGACCUGCCCUCAGCUCUGGGAUAAGCCUGGGAAACUGGGUCUAAUACCGGAUAUGACUUCGCAUCGCAUGGUGUGGGGUGGAAAGUUUUUCGGCUGGGGAUGGGCCCGCGGCCUAUCAGCUUGUUGGUGGGGUGAUGGCCUACCAAGGCGACGACGGGUAGCCGGCCUGAGAGGGCGACCGGCCACACUGGGACUGAGACACGGCCCAGACUCCUACGGGAGGGCAGCAGUGGGGAAGUAUUGCGCAAUGGGCGGAAGCCUGACGCAGCGACGCCGCGU
Molecule: ribosomal RNA, 373 nt
Filed under: uncultured bacterium
Lineage: Bacteria
Description: bacterial SSU rRNA
Rfam family: Bacterial small subunit ribosomal RNA
Source: RNAcentral